RNAcentral lists this ribosomal RNA (458 nucleotides) under uncultured bacterium. Its description in RNAcentral is "bacterial SSU rRNA". It matches the Rfam family "Bacterial small subunit ribosomal RNA", at positions 1 to 507 of the family's 1533-position model. The record is from RNAcentral.
AUGUGACGAGUUUGAAUCCUGGCUCAGAACGACGCUGGCGGCAUGCCUAACACAUGCAAGUCGAACGAGACUUCGGUCUAGUGGCGGACGGGUGAGUAACGCGUAGGAACCUGCCAAGCCAGUGGGGAAUAACAGCUGGAAACGGCUGCUAAUACCGCAUACGCCCUUCGGGGGAAAGAUUUAUCGCUGUUUGAGGGUCCUGCGUUCGAUUAGCUAGUUGGUGAGGUAACGGCCCACCAAGGCGACGAUCGAUAGCUGGUCUGAGAGGAUGAUCAGCCACACUGGGACUGAGACACGGCCCAGACUCCUACGGGAGGCAGCAGUGGGGAAUAUUGGACAAUGGGGGAAACCCUGAUCCAGCAAUGCCGCGUGCGUGAAGAAGGCCUUAGGGUUGUAAAGCGCUUUCACCUGUGAUGAUGAUGACAGUAGCAGGAGAAGAAGCCCCGGCUAACUCCGUG